AUGGGAACCGGGGCGCCGGUCUCCGCGGCGACCUCGUCCCCCGGGAGGGGGCGGAGCCGGAGGCCGGGAGGGCCAAUGGGCGGAGGGGAGCGCCGGGAGGGGGCGGGCUUGAGUGACGGCAGCGGGGGCGGGGCCGGGGCUGCGCGGGGCGGGGCCGGGGCUGCGGGGGGCGGGGCCGGGGCUGCGGGGGCGGGGCCGGGGGCGGGGCCGCGCGGCUGCCUGCGGCGCCGCGGGGGCUGUGCUAGUAGCUGCGGCGGCCGUGGUGCGGCGAGGGUCCCACGCCAUGCUCGCGGCCCCCGGCGCCCGUCUCGCUGGCGCGCUGCGCUCGCUCGCCCCCCGCUCCGCCUCGGCCCGGUCGGCAGCGCUCGGAGCCCGCUGCAGGAGCUGAGCCGGCCCGCGCCGUCCCGCGCCGGAGGCUGUGGCUGCAGAGGCUCUGGGAGGCGCGCCGAGCGCGGGAGGGCGGAGAGGGUGCUCGGCGCUCCGGGGUCCGGCGGUCGGCGGGGGCCGCCGCGGAGGGGCGUUUCCGAGGCGAGGAGGAGAAGGAGAUGCGGCUCCCCUUCCCCCCGUCCCCAGGCUCCUUCUUCGGCUCCCCCGGCGCACGCCCGCAGCAGCUCCGCGAAGCGGCGGUGGCCCUCGGCGCCCGAGGCUGCAGCCGGCGGCCCGCCCCGACGCCGCGUCCCCUCGGCCCUUGCUUCGCGCCGCAGUAGCAGGACCGGGUCUCCGGGAGACGGGGUAAGGACGGGAGCGGCCCGGGGCUCUGGCGUGCAUCUGCAGAGGCGCAAAGCAAAGUGCACCGCGCUCCUCUGCGCCUUCUCCCCGCCCCCCCCCCUGCUCGCUCAGCUUCUGCCCUGGGCCCCCGAGCCGGCUCCUCUGUGGCCCUGCGGGAGAACGAACUUCGCUUUGCUUUCCGUGGUGGGGUGGCCGGGAUGGGGGAGGAUGGGGGAGGAUGGGAUGAACCUCCAUUGUGCAUUAGGUGGAUCCGCCUUCUCCGCGGAGGAAGGCCGGAUUCCUGGGGGAGCCAGAGAUUGGGAGGUAGCAGGGGGUGACCUCGCCCCAUCGUGCUGCUCCGGCUCUGCGCCGUGCGGGCCACGGGAGGGGAUCCCGGAGUCUGUUUCUAAUUUCUGUAAAUGGCUGUGGACAUGCUGUGGUCAGAGGCCGCCCAGAAGAAUGUGUGUGUGUGUAAGGGCUCAGAGCGGAGGGGGCGGGAAAGGAGGAAGACGGGCCGAGGGAGAGACACUGCCUGAUGCAAGCUCUUUUAUUGCUUCUCUUCUCCUUGCCUCUGUUAAAUCUCGCCACCCCCCUCCCACCCCGCCUUUGCUCUUUGCAGGAUUCUUAGUACGGAAAGCUAAAGCUUGCUAA
This 1359-nucleotide long non-coding RNA is filed under the name Canis lupus familiaris (dog). RNAcentral describes it as "lncRNA (ENSCAFG00040025448.1)". The record is from RNAcentral. Lineage: Eukaryota; Metazoa; Chordata; Mammalia; Carnivora; Canidae.